AGCAGCCGCGGUAAUUCCAGCUCCAAUAGCGUAUAUUAAAGUUGUUGCAGUUAAAAAGCUCGUAGUUGAAUUUCGGGGUCAAUAUGUUGGUCGUGCCUCGGUACGUACUGGCAUUAUUGGUUUCUACCUUCUGAAGAACCUCGAUGUCAUUAAUUUGGUGUCUUGGGGAAUCAGGACUGUUACUUUGAAAAAAUUAGAGUGUUUAAAGCAGGCUCACGCUUGAAUACAUUAGCAUGGAAUAAUGAAAUAGGACGUUUGAUUCUAUUUUGUUGGUUUCUAGGAUUGACGUAAUGAUUAAUAGGGAUAGUUGGGGGCAUUAGUAUUCAAUUGUCAGAGGUGAAAUUCUUGGAUUUAUUGAAGACUAACUACUGCGAAAGCAUUUGCCAAGGAUGUUUUCAUUAAUCAAGAACGAAAGUUAGGGGAUCGAAGACGAUCAGAUACCGUCGUAGUCUUAACCAUAAACUAUGCCGACUAGGGAUCGGAUGAUGUUAAUUUUUUAAUGACUCAUUCGGCGCCUUACG
RNAcentral lists this ribosomal RNA (521 nucleotides) under uncultured Glomeraceae. RNAcentral describes it as "SSU rRNA". It matches the Rfam family "Eukaryotic small subunit ribosomal RNA", at positions 569 to 1092 of the family's 1831-position model. Lineage: Eukaryota; Fungi; Glomeromycota; Glomeromycetes; Glomerales; Glomeraceae. The record is from RNAcentral.